AUUGAACGCUGGCGGCAGGCUUAACACAUGCAAGUCGAGCGGGGUGAUGGUGCUUGCACUAUCACUUAGCGGCGGACGGGUGAGUAAUGCUUAGGAAUCUGCCUAUUAGUGGGGGACAACAUCUCGAAAGGGAUGCUAAUACCGCAUACGUCCUACGGGAGAAAGCAGGGGAUCACUUGUGACCUUGCGCUAAUAGAUGAGCCUAAGUCGGAUUAGCUAGUUGGUGGGGUAAAGGCCUACCAAGGCGACGAUCUGUAGCGGGUCUGAGAGGAUGAUCCGCCACACUGGGACUGAGACACGGCCCAGACUCCUACGGGAGGCAGCAGUGGGGAAUAUUGGACAAUGGGGGGAACCCUGAUCCAGCCAUGCAGCGUGUGUGAAGAAGGCCUUAUGGUUGUAAAGCACUUUAAGCGAGGAGGAGGCUCUUUUGGUUAAUACCCAAGAUGAAUGGACGUUACUCGCAGAAUAAGCACCGGCUAACUCUGUGCCAGCCGCCGCAGUAA
This 503-nucleotide ribosomal RNA is filed under the name uncultured bacterium. Its description in RNAcentral is "partial 16S ribosomal RNA". It matches the Rfam family "Bacterial small subunit ribosomal RNA", at positions 30 to 523 of the family's 1533-position model. The record is from RNAcentral.